This 274-nucleotide ribosomal RNA is filed under the name uncultured bacterium. Its description in RNAcentral is "partial 16S ribosomal RNA". It matches the Rfam family "Bacterial small subunit ribosomal RNA", at positions 523 to 796 of the family's 1533-position model. The record is from RNAcentral.
AUACGGAGGGUGCGAGCGUUAAUCGGAAUUACUGGGCGUAAAGGGUGCGUAGGCGGCUUGAUAAGUCGGAUGUGAAAGCCCCGGGCUUAACCUGGGAAUUGCAUUCGAUGCUGUCAGGCUAGAGUAUGUCAGAGGUUGGCGGAAUUCCUGGUGUAGCGGUGAAAUGCGUAGAUAUCAGGAGGAACACCAGUGGCGAAGGCGGCUAACUGGGACAAUACUGACGCUGAGGCACGAAAGCGUGGGGAGCAAACAGGAUUAGAAACCCUUGUAGUCC